GGGGGCUUGGUGUAGGGGUAUCACGUUCGCUUUGCAUUGUUUCAAAUGCUUGCGAAAGGCCGGGGGUUCAAAUCCCUCAGCCUCCAUUU
This 89-nucleotide transfer RNA is filed under the name Fusarium venenatum. RNAcentral's name for it is "tmRNA". It matches the Rfam family "tRNA". From Rfam's summary of the family: Transfer RNA (tRNA) molecules are approximately 80 nucleotides in length. Their secondary structure includes four short double-helical elements and three loops (D, anti-codon, and T loops). Further hydrogen bonds mediate the characteristic L-shaped molecular structure. tRNAs have two regions of fundamental functional importance: the anti-codon, which is responsible for specific mRNA codon recognition, and the 3' end, to which the tRNAs corresponding amino acid is attached (by aminoacyl-tRNA synthetases). tRNAs cope with the degeneracy of the genetic code in two manners: having more than one tRNA (with a specific anti-codon) for a particular amino acid; and 'wobble' base-pairing, i.e. permitting non-standard base-pairing at the 3rd anti-codon position. The record is from RNAcentral. Lineage: Eukaryota; Fungi; Ascomycota; Sordariomycetes; Hypocreales; Nectriaceae.